Transfer RNA from Sugiyamaella lignohabitans, 72 nucleotides. It matches the Rfam family "tRNA". From Rfam's summary of the family: Transfer RNA (tRNA) molecules are approximately 80 nucleotides in length. Their secondary structure includes four short double-helical elements and three loops (D, anti-codon, and T loops). Lineage: Eukaryota; Fungi; Ascomycota; Dipodascomycetes; Dipodascales; Trichomonascaceae. The record is from Rfam.
GGGAUUAUAGUAUAGUUGGUAGUACAUUAACUUUGCACGUUAAAAACAUGGGUUCAACUCCCAUUGGUUCCA